This 912-nucleotide ribosomal RNA is filed under the name uncultured archaeon. RNAcentral describes it as "bacterial SSU rRNA". It matches the Rfam family "Archaeal small subunit ribosomal RNA", at positions 537 to 1449 of the family's 1478-position model. The record is from RNAcentral.
GUUUUCGGUUAAAUUCAUGUGCUCAACGCAUGAGCCGCCGAAAAUACUGCAUAGCUAGGGANNNGGNNNGGUAGACNGUACUCNGUAGGAAGGGGUAAAAUCCNUUGAUCUAUCGAUGACCACCUGUGGCGAAGGCGGUCUACCAGAACACGUUCGACGGUGAGGGAUGAAAGCUGGGGGAGCAAACCGGAUUAGAUACCCGGGUAGUCCCAGCUGUAAACGAUGCAGACUCGAUGAUGCAUUGGCAUAUAGCCAGUGCAGUGUCGCAGGGAAGCCGUUAAGUCUGCCGCCUGGGAAGUACGUACGCAAGUAUGAAACUUAAAGGAAUUGGCGGGGGAGCACCACAAGGGGUGAAGCCUGCGGUUCAAUUGGAGUCAACGCCAGAAAUCUUACCCGGAGAGACAGCAGAAUGAAGGUCAAGCUGAAGACUUUACCAGACAAGCUGAGAGGUGGUGCAUGGCCGUCGCCAGCUCGUGCCGUGAGAUGUCCUGUUAAGUCAGGUAACGAGCGAGAUCCCCGCCACUAGUUGCUAUCAUUAUUCUCAGGAAUAGUGGGGCGAAUUAGUGGGACUGCCGUUGUUAAAACGGAGGAAGGAGGGGGCCACGGCAGGUCGGUAUGCCCCGAAACUCUGGGGCCACACGCGGGCUGCAAUGGUAGCGACGAUGAGUUCCAAACUCGAAAGAAGGUGGUAAUCUCUAAACGCUACCACAGUUAUGACUGAGGGCUGUAACUCGCCCUCACGAAUAUGGAAUCCCUAGUAACCGCGUGUCAUUACCGCGCGGUGAAUACGUCCCUGCUCCUUGCACACACCGCCCGUCGUUUCAUCGAAGUUUGCUUUUAGCGAGGUGAUGUUUAAUUGACAUUAUCGAACUUGAGGUAAGUGACGAGGGAAAAGUCGUAACAAGGUAGCCA